This 1235-nucleotide long non-coding RNA is filed under the name Betta splendens (Siamese fighting fish). RNAcentral describes it as "lncRNA (ENSBSLG00000009430.1)". Lineage: Eukaryota; Metazoa; Chordata; Actinopteri; Anabantiformes; Osphronemidae. The record is from RNAcentral.
GCUUUACUUCCUAUCAUUGUUCUAUGUGCCUGUUAUUAAAAUCAACUCUUAUUUCUGUGAACGUAACCAGUCCAACAAACCCAGAGACAGGAUUGUUUGGUUCAGACGGUUGUAACUACUUUACUCUAGUAAAGUAAAAGUAGUUAAAGUAAAGUCUUUACUCGAAUUUACUCAUCUUUUGAUGAAUGGGUGAAGCUACUGCUGUGACCUGAGUGACAUAUUACCUCCCUUGCUCCUGGACACGAUGAGCUCUUGUUGUCAAUGUUGUUAUCAGGCAACAGGAGCCAAACUUUGAUGGUGCAUCAACAAGAAAUGUGUGUAAAGCUUUAGAUGAGACCACGUCAACUCAUCUUUAUACAAAAAUUGUCUCUAAGCUAAACAAUAUCAUUAACAAUAUUAUUGGUUAUGGGUUUGUUCUUGUUGUUUUGCCUCAUGACAGAAGCAAUAUAAGCGUUUGUUUCUAUUUGUUUCUGUUUGUGUUAAGUUAUAUAAAACAUGACACAUGUCAAGUCACAUGUUCGCUCAAACCUGACAAACAAGGAAACAGGCUGUGGUCGCUCCCUGUGGUGAUGAGCACUGCGUCAUAAAGAGUCAGCUGACUGUCAUACCCGUGGAUCUACGUUUCUUCGCACGGUAAGCGUUUAAAUUCUUUUAAUAAAACCUGUGUGUGUGUGUGUGUGAAUAUGUCUUUACAUGUUUGCAGGUUUUAGUUCAGUGUCAUGUUUGUUUGUAGAACUGCUCCAAGAAGAAGACUUGUUUUGGGGGUAAGGGCAGCGCUGACCCCAGCUAAGGUGUGGCUCCAGUUCUUUCAAGAUUUUCAUUGACACAUUUGAAAUGUACGGACGAAACGGAGGACCCCACUGGCCCCAUGGAAUGCCAGGUCCACCAGGCUGCGGUCCACCCCCACCCUGUCCUCCCCCACCGUGUCAUCCAUCAUGUGGAGGAGGCCACGGCCACGGACCUUGUCCCUAUGUACACAGUCCCCAUGGACACGGACAUGGUCACCAAGGACACGGUCACCAUGGACACGGUCACCAUGGACACGGACAUGGUCACCACGGACACGGUCACCAUGGACACGGCCACCAUGGACAUGGAUUUUAGCCUGGUCAGGUGUGAUCAUUGUCAGAGUGCUCCAGCAUCCGGGAUCCUGACGAGAUAAAGAUUUAUCACUUUGAAGACAAUACAACCAAUUUACCACACUGCAGUUAUAAUAAAUCUGAUUAAAUCACUCA